GAGCCCCAGACCCCGGCCACCCUCGAUUCGACAACCCCAGACCCCUGCCAGCUGCCGCGAGUCUCCGCUGCUGGAAUCUUGUUAGCGGCUGUCUUUUUGGAGGGUUCUGGUUUCCCGACAUUUUUGUUUCCAGCCCAGGAGAGGAUAUCGUGAUUUUCCCCCCUUGAGCCCAGGCUCUGCUCUCUGGGGGGGUGGGGGGCGCUCCAAGCCGGGGAGCCGUGCCAGCCGAGUCGUGCGGGCUGUGGCAGGGAAGGGGCCACCAUGGGAUGUACUCUGAGCGCAGAGGAGAGAGCCGCCCUCGAGCGGAGCAAGGCGAUUGAGAAAAACCUCAAAGAGGAUGGCAUCAGCGCCGCCAAAGACGUGAAAUUACUCCUGCUCGGGGCUGGAGAAUCAGGAAAAAGCACCAUUGUGAAGCAGAUGAAGUAAGUCCCUGUGGCAUUGGGAUUCGUACUUUUAUUAAGAAUAAUUUUUAAAUCGUUUUUAUUACAUUGCUUACUCCA
Molecule: long non-coding RNA, 500 nt
Filed under: Homo sapiens (human)
Lineage: Eukaryota; Metazoa; Chordata; Mammalia; Primates; Hominidae
Description: long non-coding RNA NONHSAT142659.2
Source: RNAcentral